UGAGGAAUAUUGCGCAAUGGGGGAAACCCUGACGCAGCGACGCCGCGUGGGUGAUGAAGGCCUUCGGGUUGUAAAGCCCUGUUGGAGGGGAAGAAAGGGCGUGUAGCUAAUAUCUGCACGCAUUGACGGUACCCUCUGAGGAAGCACCGGCUAACUCCGUGCCAGCAGCCGCGGUACUACGGAGGGUGCGAGUGUUAUUCGGAAUUACUGGGCGUAAAGAGCACGUAGGCGGAUAGACAAGUCAGAUGUGAAAGCCCGGAGCUUAACCCCGGAAAUGCAUUGGAUACUGCCUGUCGUGAGUGGGGUAGAGGGGGGUGGAAUUCCCGGUGUAGAGGUGAAAUUCGUAGAUAUCGGGAGGAACACCAGAGGCGAAGGCGACCCCCUGGGCCAUAACUGACGCUGAGGUGCGAAAGCGUGGGGAGCAAACA
This 428-nucleotide ribosomal RNA is filed under the name uncultured prokaryote. Its description in RNAcentral is "bacterial SSU rRNA". It matches the Rfam family "Bacterial small subunit ribosomal RNA", at positions 355 to 774 of the family's 1533-position model. The record is from RNAcentral.